UAGAGUGUAUAGCUCCUGACCCAUGUGAACAUACCUCAUGUUGCCUCGGCUAGUCGUGGCUCCCUCGUAGGUCCUACCCUGUAUGCGCCAACACACAAGGCGCGGGUACCCCUGGCGGUGGCCUGACAAACUCUGAGCUCCCGUUCCAAUUCGCAACCUCGCUUAACUCGUUAAAACUUUGGUCGACAUGACUCUGGGUUCUGGCGUCCAUUAAAAAAGCAACGGACUGCGUGUGGUUUUGUGAAUUGCAUAAUUCAGUGAAUCCUCCAAUCUUUGAACGCACAUUGCGCCCAUUACUAUUCUCGUGGGCAUGCCUGUUCGAGCGUCAUUUUUCCCUUUUUCCCUUAUUGCUUAGUGUUUGGAGACUUCAGCACCGAAACUCACCUUCCUGGGUGACCGACCCGGCUCCCACUCCCUACCUGGUAGUUUCUCACCUGGUAGGACCUACGACCGGUGCCCUACCUGCCAAGCCCCAUAUUUAUAUUGUUGACCUCUUUGGGAGUUAUUACUACCCUCUAAAAUCCCCAUUGACC
RNAcentral lists this ribosomal RNA (533 nucleotides) under Xylaria sp. PR6. RNAcentral's name for it is "eukaryotic LSU rRNA". The stretch from base 175 to 328 matches the Rfam family "5.8S ribosomal RNA". Lineage: Eukaryota; Fungi; Ascomycota; Sordariomycetes; Xylariales; Xylariaceae. The record is from RNAcentral.